UUACUCCUACGGGAGGCAGCAGUAGGGAAUCUUCCGCAAUGGACGAAAGUCUGACGGAGCAACGCCGCGCGAGUGAUGAAGGCUUUCGGGUCGUAAAACUCUGUUGUUAGGGAAGAACAAGUGCUAGUUGAAUAAGCUGGCACCUUGACGGUACCUAACCAGAAAGCCACGGCUAACUACGUGCCAGCAGCCGCGGUAAUAAU
Molecule: ribosomal RNA, 203 nt
Filed under: uncultured bacterium
Lineage: Bacteria
Description: partial 16S ribosomal RNA
Rfam family: Bacterial small subunit ribosomal RNA
Source: RNAcentral